GUGCUUAACACAUGCAAGUCGAACGGAAAGGCCCUGCUUUUGUGGGGUGCUCGAGUGGCGAACGGGUGAGUAACACGUGAGUAACCUGCCCUUGACUUUGGGAUAACUUCAGGAAACUGGGGCUAAUACCGGAUAGGAGCUCCUGCUGCAUGGUGGGGGUUGGAAAGUUUCGGCGGUUGGGGAUGGACUCGCGGCUUAUCAGCUUGUUGGUGGGGUAGUGGCUUACCAAGGCUUUGACGGGUAGCCGGCCUGAGAGGGUGACCGGCCACAUUGGGACUGAGAUACGGCCCAG
Molecule: ribosomal RNA, 292 nt
Filed under: uncultured bacterium
Lineage: Bacteria
Description: partial 16S ribosomal RNA
Rfam family: Bacterial small subunit ribosomal RNA
Source: RNAcentral